UACGUAGGUGGCAAGCGUUGUCCGGAUUUACUGGGCGUAAAGGGCGCGCAGGCGGCACAUUUUGUCAGGCGUGAAAGCCCCGGGCUUAACCUGGGAACUGCGUUUGAUACGGAUGGGCUAGAGUUCGGGAGAGGAGAGUGGAAUUCCCAGUGUAGAGGUGAAAUUCGUAGAUAUUGGGAAGAACACCGGUGGCGAAGGCGGCUCUCUGGACCGAGACUGACGCUGAGGCGCGAAAGCGUGGGGAGCAAACAGG
RNAcentral lists this ribosomal RNA (253 nucleotides) under uncultured bacterium. Its description in RNAcentral is "partial 16S ribosomal RNA". It matches the Rfam family "Bacterial small subunit ribosomal RNA", at positions 524 to 776 of the family's 1533-position model. The record is from RNAcentral.